Molecule: long non-coding RNA, 521 nt
Filed under: Nicotiana tabacum (common tobacco)
Lineage: Eukaryota; Viridiplantae; Streptophyta; Magnoliopsida; Solanales; Solanaceae
Description: long non-coding RNA (NTAB_LNC011098)
Source: RNAcentral
GGAAAUAGCCUUUUGCAGAAAUGCAAGGUAAGGUUGCGUACAAUAGACCCUUGUGGUCAUGCCCUUCCCCGAACCUCGCGCAUAGCGGGAGCUUAGUGCAGGGGCUGCCCUUUUAUUCUAUUAUUAAUAUUAGAUAUUCCAAUGAGGCUGCGUCUAUUUCUAUAUGAUAUGUCUUUCAUUUAGCUGAAUAUAUAUCCUUUAAGGCUGCUUCAUCCGAGAUUAUUAAUUUAGUGUUUUUCUUUUAUUAUUUUCGUCCUUUCUGCAGGGGAGAUCCAGGAAUUAUGUUACCCUUAGAUAAUUAAGGAGUCACUGCAUAUCUUGUUUUCUGCAGUCUGUUGAUGUGAUUGACUUCAUUCCAAUAAAGAACCUGGUUUGUGUUUAUUUUUUCAAGCAUUGUGGAGUUUAAAAUAGCUUCGGUUUUCUUAUUGGUGUGCUUCCCAACCUCGUUACCUUCUUGAAGGUAGGGAUAAGGUUUGCGUACAUUUACCCUCCCCAGACUCCACUUGUGAGAUUACACUGGG